This 70-nucleotide transfer RNA is filed under the name Dipodomys ordii (Ord's kangaroo rat). It matches the Rfam family "tRNA". Rfam says of the family: Transfer RNA (tRNA) molecules are approximately 80 nucleotides in length. Their secondary structure includes four short double-helical elements and three loops (D, anti-codon, and T loops). Lineage: Eukaryota; Metazoa; Chordata; Mammalia; Rodentia; Heteromyidae. The record is from Rfam by way of RNAcentral.
GGGAAUGUGGCUUAGUGGUAGAGUGCUUGCCUAGUAUGCAUGAUGCCCCAGAUUCAAUUCCUCAAUACCA